Molecule: transfer RNA, 64 nt
Filed under: Plagusia squamosa
Lineage: Eukaryota; Metazoa; Arthropoda; Malacostraca; Decapoda; Plagusiidae
Description: tRNA-Gly
Rfam family: tRNA
About the family: Transfer RNA (tRNA) molecules are approximately 80 nucleotides in length. Their secondary structure includes four short double-helical elements and three loops (D, anti-codon, and T loops). Further hydrogen bonds mediate the characteristic L-shaped molecular structure. tRNAs have two regions of fundamental functional importance: the anti-codon, which is responsible for specific mRNA codon recognition, and the 3' end, to which the tRNAs corresponding amino acid is attached (by aminoacyl-tRNA synthetases). tRNAs cope with the degeneracy of the genetic code in two manners: having more than one tRNA (with a specific anti-codon) for a particular amino acid; and 'wobble' base-pairing, i.e. permitting non-standard base-pairing at the 3rd anti-codon position.
Source: RNAcentral
AUUUUUUUAGUAUAAUAAAGUAUAUUUGACUUCCAAUCAAAAGGUCUAAUCUUUAGAAAAAAUA